Molecule: long non-coding RNA, 868 nt
Filed under: Cyanistes caeruleus (blue tit)
Lineage: Eukaryota; Metazoa; Chordata; Aves; Passeriformes; Paridae
Description: lncRNA (ENSCCEG00000009852.1)
Source: RNAcentral
CUCAGCCACAAGUGCUUGUCCCCAUUCUGUCCUCUGUAUUUUGCACAGCUGCAGGAAAAGAAGAAAGGAACUGAUCAAGCUGAGAAAACAAUCUUCCUUUUAGUCCUUGUUCUUCCUGAUGACAAGGGUCCACUACACCAUAUGCACACAAUGGUGCCCAGGUUUGGACUCUACAGGAAAUUUCAAUGUGCUAACAGUUGGCACUUUAUUUGUGGACACACCCUUUACUUCCAAAUGCACAGCACUUCAGCUUCAGGGCCUUCUGCCCUUUGAUGCAAAAAAAAUUUCUCAUUUUAUGGAUGGAGGACACAUAUAGAAGACAGUGGAAAACUAGGUUGCUCAGUCUCAGAGGAAAUCUGAAUAUGCAUAUAAGGAAUAUGCUCAGGAGACACGGUCUUAAAACUGCUGUCCUAACCCCUUGUCUUUGAGUAAUUCUCUGUACUUACUUGUGCAUAAAUUAAUCUCAAGAUUAAAAAUGGCAGAUCCCUAAUUGGUUGCCUUUGCAGUGUGAAGCAGUAGACGCUGUGUAGAGUAGUGUUUCCUUAACACUUACACAUUUUGCACUGUUUGUGGCUCAAGGUAUUUUGUAAUCUGUAGCCACAAAAGUUGCCUUUGUAUUUGAUGUCACUCAGUAGUUUUUUUCCAAAAGUUAGUCUAAUCAACCCUGAAACACUUGAAAUACCAUGUAAAGAUGACUUAAAAAUGUAACUGUACAUUUCUUUUAUGGACAAAGUACCUUUAUGUAAUCCAAUACUCACUAGUUAUUACUCAAAAAAGUAGCUGUGAACAAUAAUUUCAUAUUAAUUUUUUCCACGUCAGUUGGAAUUCUGUUAAUAAAAAUAUUAUGCCUCCUUGGCUAGCCUUUAAU